Molecule: ribosomal RNA, 753 nt
Filed under: uncultured archaeon
Lineage: Archaea
Description: bacterial SSU rRNA
Rfam family: Archaeal small subunit ribosomal RNA
Source: RNAcentral
CGAGUCAUUGUAGUAAUACAAGGGCAGACGGCUCAGGUAACGCGAUAGUUCAACCUAACCUAUGGACGGGGAUAACCUCGGGAAACUGAGAAUAAUACCCGAUAGAACAUUAUGCCUGGAACGGUUUAUGUUUCAAAUAAUUUAUUGCCGUAGGAUGGGACUGCGGCCUAUCAGUUUGUUGGUGAGGUAAUGGCCCACCAAGACUAUUACAGGUACGGGCUCUGAGAGGAGUAGCCCGGAGAUGGGUACUGAGACAAGGUCCCAGGCCCCACGGGGCGCAGCAGUUGCGAAAACUCGCCAAUGCACGAAAGUGUGAGCGGGCUACCCCGAGUGCUGUCCGCUGAGGAUAGCUUUUCCCUGGUGUAAGGAGCCAGGGGAAUAAGGAGAGGGCAAGACUGGUGUCAGCCGCCGCGGUAAUACCAGCUCUCCGAGUGGUAAGGAUGAUUAUUGGGCUUAAAGCGUCCGUAGCCGGUCUAACAAGUCUCUUGUUAAAUCCAACGAUUCAAUCGUUGGACUGCGGGAGAUACUGUCAGACUAGGAGGCGGGAGAGGUCGACGGUACUCUUGGAGUAGGGGUGAAAUCCUGUAAUCCCAGGAGGACCACCAGUGGCGAAGGCUGUCGACUGGCACGCGCUCGACGGUGAGGGACGAAAGCUUGGGGAGCGAACCGGAUUANAUACCCGGGUAGUCCAAGCUGUAAACGAUGCGGGCUAGGUGUUGGGGUGGCUACGAGCCACUUCAGUGCCGCAGCGAA